AUUGAACGCUGGCGGCAGGCCUAACACAUGCAAGUCGAGCGGUAACACAGAGGAGCUUGCUCCUUGGGUGACGAGCGGCGGACGGGUGAGUAAUGCCUGGGGAUCUGCCCGAUAGAGGGGGAUAACUACGGGAAACUGUAGCUAAUACCGCAUAAUGUCUACGGACCAAAGUGGGGGCUCUUCGGACCUCAUGCUAUCGGAUGAACCCAGGUGGGAUUAGCUAGUUGGUGAGGUAAUGGCUCACCAAGGCGACGAUCUCUAACUGGUUUGAGAGAAUGACCAGUCACACUGGAACUGAGACACGGUCCAGACUCCUACGGGAGGCAGCAGUGGGGAAUAUUGCACAAUGGGCGCAAGCCUGAUGCAGCCAUGCCGCGUGUGUGAAGAAGGCCUUCGGGUUGUAAAGCACUUUCAGCGGGGAGGAAGGGCUACUAGUUAAUACCUAGUGACAUUGACGUUACUCGCAGAAGAAGCACCGGCUAACUCCGUGCCAGCAGCCGCCGUAA
RNAcentral lists this ribosomal RNA (506 nucleotides) under uncultured bacterium. RNAcentral describes it as "partial 16S ribosomal RNA". It matches the Rfam family "Bacterial small subunit ribosomal RNA", at positions 30 to 523 of the family's 1533-position model. The record is from RNAcentral.